CGUGAGCAAUAUGGAGUCUUGCAGAGGGCAUUGGAUCAUCCCCAUCUAGACAGAUGUAUGGGCUUCCUACAUCGGUGUCUGUUAAGGAAAUACCUAUUGUUCACCUAUGUACUAUGAGAUUAUACAAAAACCUAGAGAGAGGGAGGUUUUGUAUAACAUGAAUGCAUAACUGUAAUCCAUGUCACACUGUUAGGCUAAUUUGAAUGUAGUGUUCAAGGUGUUUCCCCUGUUCUUUCUGAGCGCAAAGUCCUCUCGUCACCCCUAACAGUCUGUGCACUGUUCAGUCAGCUGUGCUCCAGUGCCUCCUUGAUUAAAAUGACAGUUUAGCUAAUGGAGUACAAUGACUUCCCCUUGAAUUUGUUCACUGCUGAUAACCUUGGCCUUUGCAGGGCAGCGGAAACCAAUGGGCCGAAGUUGACUCAUUAUGUUCUUUUUCCUAUAAAAUUUGCAAAUACUUUCUGCCUGUGCUGUUUAUUUUGCAGCUCAACAAACCAAUAUGUUAAAGCAUUCAUGACCUAUAACAUCACUUACAUUCCUGUAGUGCCAGCUGAAUGUUAGACAGGAUAUAUACUCUCUUAAGCAUUUAUUUGCCUGUGGGACAUGGAGUUAAGAGUGGAUGGAUCCAUCUCUUAUAAAUAUAUUUUGAUCUAAAAUAUUAUUUCGAUGUACUUUGGCAUAUUUUUUGAGCUGAGAGUUGUGUAAGAAAAUUUGGAGAGUACAACAUACGGAGGAAAUUACCUUCCAAUCCGCACAGUAGUUGAGGGAGUUCUGAUCAGGGCAGUGCACAUCGGAAUUAUAGGAACCAUAUCUCUAAAAUAUCCCACAUGACUCUGAGUUAAAGACAUGAAUUCAUGUGUUCUACGUCUACAAGGACUAUGCUAUAGCUGGUUCCACCCCCCCACUUUCAGGGAGAAGCUCCAUGGCACAGUAGUAGAACACUUGCUUUGUAUGCAAAUGGUCCUUUUUUUUCAAUACUUGGCAUCUUCAAGUAGGGUCAGGAAUGUUUUCUGCCUGGAGAGUCGCAGUAAAGGUAAAAAAAGGUAAACCCCUGGAUAGUUUAGUCCAGUCAAAUUUGACUUUGGGGUGUGGCACUCAUCUCCGCUUUCAGGCCAAGGGAGCCAGUGUUUGUCUGCAGACAGCUUUCCGGGUCAUGUGGCCAGCAUGAUUAAACUGCUUCUGGAACAAUGGGACACUGUGCCAGAGCCACGGAAGCGCCAUUUACCUUUUCACUGCAGCGGUACCUAUUUAUCUACUCACGCUGGUGUGCUUUCAAACUGCUAGGUUGGCAGGAGCUGGGACAAAGCAACAGGAGCUCACCCCGUUGUGGGGAUUCAAACUGUCAACCUUAUGAUUGGCAAGCCCAAGAAGCUCGGUGGUUUGGACUACAGCGCCACCUGCGUCCCUGGUAGAGUCACAGUAGACAGUUCUGAGCUUUGAUGGACCAGUGAUCUGAUGGUAUAAGGCAAUUUCCUAUGUUCUUAUGAAUGGGCUCAACUUCCCACCUGUGUCACUGCUGCCCAUUCACUUGCUCGUUCCUGCUUGGCCCAAUCUCUGCAACCACAGAGGAAGAGGGCAAGGCAAGUGGAGGAUGUCAUGCUUUGGGGAGGGUAAGGAGUUAGGAAGUGAUAGCUAGGAGGCUCUGCAGGUCACCAAUUGGCCCCCUGUGGAGGUGUGGGUCUCAGCAGGAGCCUGGUGCUGCCAACCCUCACUGUAGAAACCCACCAAUUUUUCGCUCUACAAUUUUAGUGUAAUGAAAGAGGAAAAUUCUUGCCAGUUGGGCACAAACAGUAAGAUCUUUCCGGCAUUUCAAUCCUUGAUCCUGUUUGUAUUAAAAAGGACUUUGCGACAACUAAAGCUUCAGUCAUGAAGUACUGAUUUAAAAAGACAGGUCAGUUGACUGAAUGCAUUUAGGAAAUGCUUUGGAAAUGUCAUUAUGUGUUUUCAGCAGAGCUAAAUCACAGGUCGGGUUUAAAGGAUUACAUUUGCUGGCAGUAGACAAACACAAGUGAGAUGUAAAAAUUUCCACAGUUAGAAAUUUUAUUAUGGGAAGUUAGUGUUAGUUGGCAGCAGGAAUAAUUGUCGUUGCAAUCCUGUGCCCAGUUCUGCCUGUUUAAUUCCACUGAAGCAAGGAAGUUUCAGCAGAUGUAACUGAUGAAGGAUUGUAACCUGAAUUUGCAUCAUCUUACAAUGGAUUAUUUCUUCUCUACUCAAACAAUAUUGCUGAUACAAAAUAAGUUUUAAAAUGUUUAUUGCUCUUGCGUGACUUGGUUACCCAAGUUGUUGAGAUGCACAUGACUCCUUGUCUGGCAAAGCGCAAGGGAAACUAAUUCUCAUGUAGACAUGCCCACUUCUGCUGGGUUGUCACCAGCAUGAAAGCUGGCAUUCUCACUAUGGGACAAGCAAGAGCAACUCUCGUUUCCCAGUACAUUCCUCUUCUACUCUUUGUGCGCACAGGCACUUUUUAAAAAGUAAAGCAAAUGCUCCAGCCUGUUGCGUCAAAAACCAGUGUGGGUGCAGUAGUGAAGAUUGCUACAAAAAGCAGCAUCAACAGGAAUUCCUAUAUAAAAAAAUUCCUUCCAGUAGCACCUUAGAGACCAACUAAAUUUGUUAUUGGUAUGAGCUUUUGUGUGCAUGCACACUUCUUCUCAUACCAAUAACAAACUUAGUUGGUCUCUAAGGUGCUACUGGAAGGAAGGAAUUUUUUUAUUUUGUUUUGACUACGGCAGACCAACACAGCUACCUACCUGUAACAGGAAUUCCUAUGUGAGUCUGAAAGUUUCCUUUUCAGACAAUAAGACGAGUUAGUCAAGUAUUUUCAUAUUGUUAGGUUCUCAAAUUUUUGAAGGUUCUGGAAGCUUACAGGGCUGUUUCAUUUGUGUGUGUAUGUUUCAGUCCUUUUAAUUUACAAAUGUUCACUUCUCCAAACCUAGGGUUGCCCACCCCAUAUGUAUCAGCAACCUUCUUCUUGAAUGCUUUUGUUUUGUUUCCAAACUCAAACCACCUGACUUUGCUAUUAGAGGAAACAUGAUAAUGGCUCUGCUUGUUGACAAGACAAAUAAUAGACUGCAGCUCAGUUGUUGUUUUAAAGAAUAAGUUUCCUGUAUAGAAAAUGAUCAUGGUGAAGCCUGAGCAUAUGUAAAUGUUAACCUCCCCAAACUGUAUUUAGAAUAGCAAAGCAGAAGUCACCUGAACACAAGAACCGGCAGGAUUACCGUUCAGAAUUCUUUUUUCCUCUGGGGGAAAUAUAAGUGUUGUCGACUUGGAGUGUGUCGUUUUUGGCUGCUCCAUCACUGUGAGGAGAAAAGUAUUGUCGACAACAUUGAACGUUGCUGGUUUAUAAACACAGGGCUCUAUGAAAUACAGUGGUACCUCGGGUUAAGAACUUAAUUCGUUCCGGAGGUCCGUUCUUAACCUGAAACUGUUCUUAACCUGAGACACCACUUUAGCUAAUGGGGCCUCCUGCUGCCGCUGAGCCGCGCGAUUUCUGUUAUCAUCCUGAAGCAAAGGUUCUUAACCCGAGGUACUAUUUUUGGGUUAGCAGAGUCUGUAACCUGAAGUGUCUUUAACCUGAAGCAUCUGUAACCCGAGGUAUCACUUUAAUUCUGUUGGGGCCUUUUCCUGUGCUGAUAUUCUUUGUUGUUCUUGUCUCAGCUAAACUGUGUAUAACAAAUGGAUAGUUAUCCUGCUCAAUACAUAAUGACAAGGUGUGAUGGAUUUUUUAAAAAAAUAAUGGGAUCCCACCCCCCUCUUGGAUGUAGAGGCCAACCAUGAUAAUGGAUUUUGAAAGACAUGUGGUUUGUCCUCAGCAACACCUUGCAAGUGUAAAUCAGCAUACAAAAUGAAAUGGAGCAACCAGUCAUUUCACUUGUUCUAGUACAGUACAGGGUCCCUAGUGUGGUCACCUGGUGCAACUACAACAAAAUGGAGUGGUUUGGAAAGUUAAUGGACUUCACUCAUGACUCUGGCCUGAGGAGUUUGUACUUAGGGUGUUGGUCUGGGACCUGGGAAACCAGGGUUCAAUGCCUGCUCAGCCUUGAAACUCACUGCGUUACCUUGGCACAGUCUCUCAGUCUAACCUCCCUCACAAAGUUGUUGUGAGGAUAAAAUGUACCUACCACUUUGAACUCCUUGGAGGAAAGGUGGGAUAUAAAUGUAAUAAACAAAUACAUGCCAGACUUUUGCUCGCCUGGAUUUGUGUUCUGCUGUUUGGAUUCUCCUUCAUUGGAGAUUGGGAGCCACCAGCCCAGGAUAUUGUAUUAGUGAAUUUACUACAUUCAUAGGCGGUUGAUGACCUUUGAGGUCCUUGCCAACUCUGUGAUUCAACUUCUAUCUUUAUCCUUGCUCAGGGAAAUCAAUUUGACUCCUACCCUUACAAUGUUUUGAUAACUCCUGGAAGCUUUUUUAAAUUUUGGGCAAGUUGUUUGGUUGGCUUUCCUCUCCUCUCCCUGGAACUUUUUGCCUGCUGCAUUGUGUGUUAUUUAUUAUUUUAUUUUGGUUUGAUCUUACUGUUUUAGUUGUAUGUCAUCCGCUUUUGCGCAGUUUACUUGUGAGCUGAGAAAAAUGGGACAUAAAUAUUUUAGAAAAAUAAAUAAGGAUCCAAAUAUAGCCUGGCUUUAUACUGAUACUUCUCAAUGUCAUUUUCUUACCAGGAGAGAGUGAGAGGAGAUAAUGUGUGAAGAAAAAAAGCAGCCAGCUUGCUAAAUGUGAACUGGCCCCUGUGGUUAGAAAUACCCAUCACUUCUGCUAGAGGUUGAAAAAUCAGCAUGCAAAGAUGAAACAAAGUAGGGAUAGAGGAACAUUUUGUUUAAACUGCAUUUUUAAAUUAAUUUACCUAAUUUGCACCUCUUGGAUGAAGGCAGUGUACACACCAGGGGUCAGCAACCUUUUUCAGCUGUGGGCCGGUCUACCGUCCCUCAGACCAUGUGGUGGGCUGGACUAUAUUUGGGGAGGGGGGAAAUGAAUGAAUUCCUAUGCCCCACAAAUAACCCAGAGAUGCAUUUUAAAUAAAAGCACACAUUCUACUCAUGUAAAAACACCAGGCAGGCCCCACAAAUAACCUAGAGAUGCAUUUUAAAUAAAAGGACACAUUCUACUCAUGUAAAAUCACGCUGAUUCCUGGACCAUCCAUGGGCCGGAUUGAGAAGGCGAUUGGGCUGCAUCCGGCCCACGGGCCUUAGGUUGCCUACCCCUGGUACACACCAUACACUGAAAACACAUUCACCCGCCUCC
This is a non-coding RNA of Podarcis lilfordi (Lilford's wall lizard), 5229 nucleotides long. Lineage: Eukaryota; Metazoa; Chordata; Lepidosauria; Squamata; Lacertidae. The record is from the annotation of a GenBank genome assembly.